AAUAGAUACCCGGGUAGUCCACGCCGUAAACGAUGUCGACUUGGAGGUUGUUCCCUUGAGGAGUGGCUUCCGAAGCUAACGCGUUAAGUCGACCGCCUGGGGAGUACGGCCGCAAGGUUAAAACUCAAAUGAAUUGACGGGGGCCCGCACAAGCGGUGGAGCAUGUGGUUUAAUUCGAUGCAACGCGAAGAACCUUACCUACUCUUGACAUCCAGAGAACUUAGCAGAGAUGCUUUGGUGCCUUCGGGAACUCUGAGACAGGUGCUGCAUGGCUGUCGUCAGCUCGUGUUGUGAAAUGUUGGGUUAAGUCCCGCAACGAGCACAACCCUUAUCCCUUGUCGCCAGCGGUUAGGCCGGGAACUCAAAGGAGACUGCCAGUGAUAAACUGGAGGAAGGUGGGGAUGACGUCAAGUCAUCAUGGCCCUUACGAGUAGGGCUACACACGUGCUACAAUGGCGCAUACAAAGAGAACGCGACCUCGCGAGAGCAAGCGGACCUCGAUAAACGUGCGUCGUAGUCCGGAUUGGAGUCUGCUAACG
This 539-nucleotide ribosomal RNA is filed under the name uncultured bacterium. Its description in RNAcentral is "bacterial SSU rRNA". It matches the Rfam family "Bacterial small subunit ribosomal RNA", at positions 777 to 1313 of the family's 1533-position model. The record is from RNAcentral.